GCCGAAGUGGCUCAGUUGGUAGAGCAACGCAUUCGUAAUGCGUGGGUCACGGGUUCGAGUCCCGUCUCCGGCU
This 73-nucleotide transfer RNA is filed under the name Bacteroidales bacterium. RNAcentral's name for it is "tRNA-Thr". It matches the Rfam family "tRNA". Rfam says of the family: Transfer RNA (tRNA) molecules are approximately 80 nucleotides in length. The record is from RNAcentral. Lineage: Bacteria; Pseudomonadati; Bacteroidota; Bacteroidia; Bacteroidales.